Molecule: ribosomal RNA, 3038 nt
Filed under: Calditrichota bacterium
Lineage: Bacteria; Pseudomonadati; Calditrichota
Description: Calditrichaeota bacterium (oil production facility metagenome) 23S ribosomal RNA
Rfam family: Bacterial large subunit ribosomal RNA
Source: RNAcentral
UUUGGUUAAGCUACUAAGGGCACACGGUGGAUGCCUUGGCACGAGAAGGCGAUGAAGGACGUGGUAAGCUGCGAUAAGCCUCGGAUAGGUGCAAACAACCUGAGACCCGGGGAUCUCCGAAUGGGGCAACCCGUUCCGGGUAAUGCCGGAACACUCCCCGCUGAAUCCAUAGGCGGGUGAGGGCCAACGAGGGGAACUGAAACAUCUCAGUACCCUCAGGAAAAGAAAGCAAACGCGAUUCCCUCAGUAGCGGCGAGCGAACGGGGAAGAGCCUAAACCUGUCCUAUGCCAAGCCUGCGUGCGUUGUAGGACAGGGGUUGCGGGACUCAGGAGGGUUCACGGCGCAGCGUGGCCGGGAAGUGACAAACUCAGCGGUUAGCCGAAGAGCCAUGGAAAGGGCUCACCAGAGAAGGUGAUAGUCCUGUAGGCGAAAACCAAUGAGCUUCCUGUCCUGAGCUCCCAAGUACUGCGGGGCACGUGGAACCCCGUGGGAAUCCGGCCCGACCACGGGCCAAGGCUAAAUACUCUCUCGUGACCGAUAGCGAACUAGUACCGUGAGGGAAAGGUGAAAAGUACCGGGGAACCGGAGUGAAAUAGGACCUGAAACCGUGUGCUUACAAGCAGUCGGAGUCCCGCUGCGGCGGGAUGACGGCGUGCCUUUUGCAUAAUGAGCUGGCGAGUUACUGUACGUUGCAAGGUUAACCCAUUCAGUGGGGUAGCCGUAGCGAAAGCGAGUCCGAAAUGGGCGCCACAGUAGCGUGCAGUAGACGCGAAGCCGGGCGAUCUAUCCAUGGCCAGGAUGAAGUCUCGGUAACACGAGAUGGAGGUCCGAACCAGUGUCGGUUGAAAACGGCUUGGAUGAGCUGUGGAUAGGAGUGAAAGGCUAAUCAAGCUCGGAGAUAGCUCGUUUUCCCCGAAAUAGCUUUAGGGCUAGCCUCGUAUUAGAGUACCGGAGGUAGAGCACUGAUUGGGCUAGGGCCCUCACAAGGGUACCAAACCCAGACAAACUCCGAAUGCCGGUACCUCGAUGUACGGGAGUCAGGCAGCGGGGGAUAAGCUUCGUUGCCGAGAGGGAAACAACCCAGACCGCCAGCUAAGGCCCCCAAGUGUAGGCUAAGUGGCAAAGGAUGUGGAAUUGCACAGACAACCAGGAUGUUGGCUUAGAAGCAGCCAUCAUUUAAAGAGUGCGUAAUUGCUCACUGGUCAAGUGAUUCCGCGCCGAUAAUUCACGGGACUCAAGCCUACCGCCGAAGCUACGGUCCCGCCACCACACGGUGGCGGGAGGUAGGGGAACGUUCCAGUUGCCUGCGAAGGUGCUUCGCGAGAAGCGCUGGAGGUCCUGGAAAUGAUUAUGCCAGCAUAAGUAGCGAGAAUUCCGGUGAGAAACCGGGACACCGUAAGUCUAAGGUUUCCUGAGUAAAGUUAAUCUGCUCAGGGUUAGUCGGACCCUAAGCCGAGGCCGAAAGGCGUAGGUGAUGGAAAACAGGUGAAUAUUCCUGUACCACCAGUGGGUCGACCAAGACACCAUGGGGUGACGCAGAAGUGAAAGGUCAGCCGGUCUCUGGAUUGCCGGUCUAAGUGCGUAGGAGGACCGGGUAGGCAAAUCCGCCUGGUCAUAACUCCGAGACACGAACGGGAGGGCUCUGCCCACAAACUGACCCUAAGCAUGCUGCCGAGAAAAACCUCUAGGUGAGACCCACAGGUGACCGUACCGCAAACCGACACAGGUAGACGGGGAGAGAAUCCUAAGGUGCUCGAGUGAGCCCUGGUUUAGGAACUAGGCAAUCUGACCCCGUAACUUCGGAAGAAGGGGUGCCUCAAGUAGGUGAAUCCAUCCCACUUCGGUGGGACUGGAGGAGCCCAACGAGGUCGCAGAGAAAUGGCCUGGGCGACUGUUUACUAAAAACACAGGUCUCUGCCAAGCCGUAAGGCGCCGUAUAGGGACUGACACCUGCCCGGUGCUGGAAGGUUAAGGGGACGUGUCACUCCGACUUGUCGGGGGAAGCACCGAACCGAAGCCCCAGUAAACGGCGGCCGUAACUAUAACGGUCCUAAGGUAGCGAAAUUCCUUGUCGGGUAAGUUCCGACCUGCACGAAUGGUGUAACGACUUGGGCGCUGUCUCAACCAGGGGCUCGGCGAAAUUGUAGUGCCGGUGAAGAUGCCGGCUACCCGCGGCGGGACGGAAAGACCCCGUGAACCUUUACUACAGCUUAGCAUUGGAUUUCGGUAUUGUAUGUGUAGGAUAGGUGGGAGGCUAUGAGCCCCGAACGCCAGUUCGGGGGGAGCCGCCGUUGAAAUACCACCCUUACUCUACUGGAAUUCUAACCCAGGGCCGUGAAGCCGGUCCGGGGACAAUGCUAGGUGGGUAGUUUGACUGGGGCGGUCGCCUCCUAAAGCGUAACGGAGGCUCCCAAAGGUUCCCUCAGCACGGUCGGUAAUCGUGCGUAGAGUGCAAAGGCAUAAGGGAGCUUGACUGCGAGACACACAGGUCGAGCAGAUGCGAAAGCAGGGCUUAGUGAUCCGGCGGUUGAACGUGGAAUUGCCGUCGCUCAAAGGAUAAAAGGUACUCCGGGGAUAACAGGCUUAUCGGGCCCAAGAGUUCACAUCGACGGCCCGGUUUGGCACCUCGAUGUCGGCUCAUCGCAUCCUGGGGCUGGACAAGGUCCCAAGGGUUAGGCUGUUCGCCUAUUAAAGCGGUACGUGAGCUGGGUUUAGAACGUCGUGAGACAGUUCGGUCCCUAUCUGUCGCGGGCGUAGGAUAUUUGCGGGAAGCUGCUCCUAGUACGAGAGGACCGGAGUGGACGAACCUCUAGUGUACCUGUUGUCACUCCAGUGGCAGCGCAGGGUAGCUACGUUCGGUCGGGAUAAGCGCUGAAAGCAUCUAAGUGCGAAACCCAUCCCAAGAUAAGAUAUCCCCUCCGCCGCAAGGCGGGCUGAAGGCCCCUCGUAGACUACGAGGUCGAUAGGUCACAGGUGUAAGUACGGCAACGUACUCAGCCGAGUGAUACUAAUAGGCCGUGCGGCUUAACCAAACAUC